GACGACGCUGGCGGCGUGCUUAACACAUGCAAGUCGAACGAGUGGCGAACGGGUGCGUAAUACGUGGGAAACUGCCCUCCUUUUUGGGAUAAGCCUUGGAAACGGGGUCUAAUACCGAAUAAAGGGGGAUGGGCUCGCGGCCUAUCAGCUUGUUGUGGGGGUGAUGGCCUACCAAGGCGACGAUCCCUAGCUGGUCUGAGAGGAUGACCAGGCACACUGGAACUGAGACACGGUCCAGACUCCUACGGGAGGCAGCAGUGGGGAAUAGUGCACAAUGGGCGCAAGCCUGAUGCAGCCAUGCCGCGUGUAUGAAGAAGGCCUUCGGGUUGUAAAGUACUUUCAGCGGGGAGGCGUUACCCGCAGAAGAAGCACCGGCUAACUCCGUGCCAGCAGCCGCGGUAAUAC
RNAcentral lists this ribosomal RNA (405 nucleotides) under uncultured bacterium. Its description in RNAcentral is "partial 16S ribosomal RNA". It matches the Rfam family "Bacterial small subunit ribosomal RNA", at positions 33 to 526 of the family's 1533-position model. The record is from RNAcentral.